GGUAGUUCAGUUGGUUAGAAUACCGGCCUGUCACGCCGGGGGUCGCGGGUUCGAGUCCCGUCCGCUCCGCCA
This 72-nucleotide transfer RNA is filed under the name Vibrio parahaemolyticus. RNAcentral's name for it is "tRNA-Asp". It matches the Rfam family "tRNA". From Rfam's summary of the family: Transfer RNA (tRNA) molecules are approximately 80 nucleotides in length. Their secondary structure includes four short double-helical elements and three loops (D, anti-codon, and T loops). RNAcentral also lists the same sequence under 4 other names. The record is from RNAcentral. Lineage: Bacteria; Pseudomonadati; Pseudomonadota; Gammaproteobacteria; Vibrionales; Vibrionaceae.